AGUGAACGCUGGCGGUAGGCCUAACACAUGCAAGUCGAACGGCAGCACAGUAAGAGCUUGCUCUUACGGGUGGCGAGUGGCGGACGGGUGAGGAAUACAUCGGAAUCUACUUUUUCGUGGGGGAUAACGUAGGGAAACUUACGCUAAUACCGCAUACGACCUACGGGUGAAAGCAGGGGAUCUUCGGACCUUGCGCGAUUGAAUGAGCCGAUGUCGGAUUAGCUAGUUGGCGGGGUAAAGGCCCACCAAGGCGACGAUCCGUAGCUGGUCUGAGAGGAUGAACAGCCACACUGGAACUUAGACACGGUCCAGACUCCUACGGGAGGCAGGAGGUGGGAAUAUUGGACAAUGGGCGCAAACCUGAUCCAGCCAUACCGCGGUGGUGAAGAAGGCCCUCGGGUUGUAAAGCCCUUUUGUUGGGAAAGAAAAGCAGCAGGUUAAUACCCCGCUGUUCUGACGGUACCCAAAGAAUAAGCACCGGCUAACUUCGUG
RNAcentral lists this ribosomal RNA (492 nucleotides) under uncultured bacterium. RNAcentral's name for it is "partial 16S ribosomal RNA". It matches the Rfam family "Bacterial small subunit ribosomal RNA", at positions 29 to 507 of the family's 1533-position model. The record is from RNAcentral.